RNAcentral lists this long non-coding RNA (455 nucleotides) under Homo sapiens (human). Its description in RNAcentral is "non-protein coding lnc-LDAH-7:1". Lineage: Eukaryota; Metazoa; Chordata; Mammalia; Primates; Hominidae. The record is from RNAcentral.
CAUAUGAAAGUCAAGCAUCUGAUUGACUCACUCAUUGAUUUUCUGAACUUCCCCAGAUUCCAGUUUCCGGGGAAACCUGGGAUAUACACUAGGGAGGAACUUUGCACUAUGUUCAUAAGGGAGGUAGGGACGGUACUGUCCCAGGUAUAUUCGAAAGUCCAUAAUGGUUCAGAAAUACUGUUUUCCUAUUUCCAAGACCUAGUGAUUACACUUCCUUUCGAGUUAAGGAAACAUAAACUAAUAGAUGUAAUCUCGAUGUAUAGGGAACUGUUGAAAGAUUUAUCAAAAGAAGCCCAAGAGGUAUUUAAAGCCAUUCAGUCUCUCAAGACCACAGAGGUGCUACGUAAUCUUCAGGACCUUUUACAAUUCAUUUUCCAACUAAUAGAAGAUAACAUUAAACAGCUGAAAGAGAUGAAAUUUACUUAUCUUAUUAAUUAUAUCCAAGAUGAGAUCAA